RNAcentral lists this ribosomal RNA (242 nucleotides) under uncultured bacterium. RNAcentral's name for it is "partial 16S ribosomal RNA". It matches the Rfam family "Bacterial small subunit ribosomal RNA", at positions 100 to 334 of the family's 1533-position model. The record is from RNAcentral.
CCGGCACGGGUGGAGUAACACGUAUGCAAUCCACCUGUAACAGGGGAGUAACCCGGAGAAAUCCGGACUAAUACCCCAUAAUAUGGGCGCUCCGCAUGGAGAGCCCAUUAAAGAGAGCAAUUUUGGUUACAGACGAGCAUGCGCUCCAUUAGCCAGUUGGCGGGGUAACGGCCCACCAAAGCGACGAUGGAUAGGGGUUCUGAGAGGAAGGUCCCCCACAUUGGAACUGAGACACGGUCCAA